AUCCAACUGACAAGUUUUAAAUAGGACGAAACAUACUUUGUCCUGGAU
Molecule: non-coding RNA, 48 nt
Filed under: Schistosoma curassoni
Lineage: Eukaryota; Metazoa; Platyhelminthes; Trematoda; Strigeidida; Schistosomatidae
Source: RNAcentral